UGCUUAACACAUGCAAGUCGAACGGUGAACACGGAGCUUGCUCUGUGGGAUCAGUGGCGAACGGGUGAGUAACACGUGAGCAACCUGCCCCUGACUCUGGGAUAAGCGCUGGAAACGGCGUCUAAUACUGGAUAUGUGACGUGACCGCAUGGUCUGCGUCUGGAAAGAAUUUCGGUUGGGGAUGGGCUCGCGGCCUAUCAGCUUGUUGGUGAGGUAAUGGCUCACCAAGGCGUCGACGGGUAGCCGGCCUGAGAGGGUGACCGGCCACACUGGGACUGAGACACGGCCCAGACUCCUACGGGAGGCAGCAGUGGGGAAUAUUGCACAAUGGGCGCAAGCCUGAUGCAGCAACGCCGCGUGAGGGACGACGGCCUUCGGGUUGUAAACCUCUUUUAGCAGGGAAGAAGCGAAAGUGACGGUACCUGCAGAAAAAGCGCCGGCUAACUACGUGCCAGCAGCCGCGGUAAUACGUAGGGCGCAAGCGUUAUCCGGAAUUAUUGGGCGUAAAGAGCUCGUAGGCGGUUUGUCGCGUCUGCUGUGAAAUCCGGAGGCUCAACCUCCGGCCUGCAGUGGGUACGGGCAGACUAGAGUGCGGUAGGGGAGAUUGGAAUUCCUGGUGUAGCGGUGGAAUGCGCAGAUAUCAGGAGGAACACCGAUGGCGAAGGCAGAUCUCUGGGCCGUAACUGACGCUGAGGAGCGAAAGGGUGGGGAGCAAACAGGCUUAGAUACCCUGGUAGUCCACCCCGUAAACGUUGGGAACUAGUUGUGGGGUCCAUUCCACGGAUUCCGUGACGCAGCUAACGCAUUAAGUUCCCCGCCUGGGGAGUACGGCCGCAAGGCUAAAACUCAAAGGAAUUGAC
This 860-nucleotide ribosomal RNA is filed under the name Microbacterium sp. VTT E-073038. RNAcentral describes it as "bacterial SSU rRNA". It matches the Rfam family "Bacterial small subunit ribosomal RNA", at positions 45 to 914 of the family's 1533-position model. The record is from RNAcentral. Lineage: Bacteria; Bacillati; Actinomycetota; Actinomycetes; Micrococcales; Microbacteriaceae.